This 815-nucleotide long non-coding RNA is filed under the name Apteryx owenii (little spotted kiwi). RNAcentral's name for it is "lncRNA (ENSAOWG00000001627.1)". The record is from RNAcentral. Lineage: Eukaryota; Metazoa; Chordata; Aves; Apterygiformes; Apterygidae.
CUGGGAUCUGGAUACCACUGAUAAGCUCUUCUGCUGACUUCUGGCUUUUGUGAGUCAAGAUUAAUUUGUUCAGUAAGAGUUUUUCUAGUGAAGGAAGACGUUUCAUAGACUUGAUAUUUCUUCCCUAGUGUGAAGCAGCAAAAUCAUUGUAUAAGCGUAUUUGCUAGUAGAGAAAUUAAUAGAAUGCAGGAAUAGAGUAUUUAAAAUAUGACAAAAGCAGAUUUAUGUGAUCACUGCAGAUAGAAAAGGGAUUGUACAUAACGUUUACUGACCAACACCAAAUCAAGGUGACAAACUGCUUCAAAGUUUCACCCUUCUCCAGUCACUGGGGGACCCACAGUCACCCUCAUCGGGAAAACAAAGGAUCUGAAGUACCAAUAGUGUCUUACUUCACCCAAGAGACAGGAGUAAUAUCUCUGAUGGAAAGCAUUUAUUCCAACCAGAAGCUUAUUCAGAAGAGAAUCAUCUUGCCUGAAUAUGGAAAGAAUAAGCAAAAGAAAUGGACAUGCAUUCUUAAUUUGAUUUCUUUAAGAUGUCAUUGAAAAAUUAAUUUGAAAAUGAGAGCUGCCUUUGGCACAGCACCCAGGGGAAAGGUGAGUGAGCUCCUGGGCCACCCGGCGCGGGGGACGAGGGCCAAGGCGGUGACGACACCGACACCGGCCUCUGCCAGUGGAGGAGGGGACCUGCAUGCAGGAAGGCCCAGAGCCCCCGGGCACAGCAGCAGGACGGUCACUCCAGGACCCCUGGCAAAGUCACAUACAUUGUCUUGUUUCCUUGCCUUGGACUUCAAGCUGGAACUGAGGCAUUGAAUAGAG